RNAcentral lists this transfer RNA (65 nucleotides) under Ictidomys tridecemlineatus (thirteen-lined ground squirrel). RNAcentral's name for it is "Spermophilus tridecemlineatus (thirteen-lined ground squirrel) tRNA". It matches the Rfam family "tRNA". From Rfam's summary of the family: Transfer RNA (tRNA) molecules are approximately 80 nucleotides in length. Their secondary structure includes four short double-helical elements and three loops (D, anti-codon, and T loops). RNAcentral also lists the same sequence under 1 other name. The record is from Rfam by way of RNAcentral. Lineage: Eukaryota; Metazoa; Chordata; Mammalia; Rodentia; Sciuridae.
GGUGUAGCUCAGUGAUAGAGCCCUUGCUUAGCAAACACAAGGCCCUGGGUUCAAUACCCAGCACC